This 420-nucleotide ribosomal RNA is filed under the name uncultured eukaryote. RNAcentral describes it as "bacterial SSU rRNA". It matches the Rfam family "Eukaryotic small subunit ribosomal RNA", at positions 592 to 1018 of the family's 1831-position model. The record is from RNAcentral.
CAAUAGCGUAUAUUAAAGUUGUUGCAGUUAAAAAGCUCGUAGUUGGACUUCUGAUGUGAAAGAUCGGUCCACCGCAAGGUGAGCACUGAUUCUUCGCGUCUUCCUCUCGUAGUUGUUUCGCGCACUUAGUUGGGUGCGAGAUGAAUAUGGGACCUUUACUUUGAAAAAAUUAGAGUGUUCAAAGCAGGCCAACGCAUUGAAUACAUUAGCAUGGAAUAAUGGAAUAGGACUUUGGUCUUAUUUUGUUGGUUUCUAAGGCCGAGGUAAUGAUUAAUAGGGAUAGUUGGGGGCGUUUAUAUUCCGUUGUCAGAGGUGAAAUUCUUGGAUUUACGGAAGAUAAACUACUGCGAAAGCAUUCGCCAAGGAUGUUUUCAUUAAUCAAGAACGAAAGUUAGGGGAUCGAAGACGAUCAGAUACCAU